CAUGGCCUACGGGACGCAGCAGUGGGGAAUAUUGCACAAUGGGGGAAACCCUGAUGCAGCCACGCCGCGUGAGUGAAGAAGUAUUUCGGUAUGUAAAGCUCUAUCAGCAGGGAGGAAGAAAGACGGUACCUGACUAAGAAGCCCCGGCUAACUACGUGCCAGCAGCCGCGGUAAUACGUAGGGGGCAAGCGUUAUCCGGAUUUACUGGGUGUAAAGGGAGCGUAGACGGCUGUGCAAGUCUGAAGUGAAAGCCCGUG
RNAcentral lists this ribosomal RNA (257 nucleotides) under uncultured bacterium. Its description in RNAcentral is "partial 16S ribosomal RNA". It matches the Rfam family "Bacterial small subunit ribosomal RNA", at positions 333 to 606 of the family's 1533-position model. The record is from RNAcentral.